Molecule: long non-coding RNA, 1116 nt
Organism: Cyprinus carpio carpio
Lineage: Eukaryota; Metazoa; Chordata; Actinopteri; Cypriniformes; Cyprinidae
Source: Ensembl
AACACACACAGCUGGCCAUCCACCUCAUUUAAAAGAAAACAUGAUUCAUCAGGCCAGGUAACCUUGUUCUAUUUCUCCAUGGUCCAGCAUUAGGGUCAUAACAGGCACUGAAAGUUGGCUGACUUGGCCAGACAUAACAGCAUUGACUCAACCAAUGGCGUGAGUUUGGAACCAGACUAAUAUGUUUGUUCAAGCAAUUUCAGAGGAAGGGAAUGUGGGGAAAAUUAAAUGAAAUUGCACACUUUACCUUGGACGAACAGAAAGAGAUUGAAAAGUGUUCAAGUAAAACUACAUUAUGAUUAUUUUUUGGUGCAAUAAACCUUCAGGGCAAAAAUGACUAUAGAAGUGUAGGAUGCAGUAGCUCACUGUCUAUUUGAAGUGUGGUAGGAUCCUUUAUUUAGGUAGGUGGUACUUGUUAAAGUAAUAUCUGCAUGAAUGCCAGGACCCAAGGUUUCUCAGCAGAACAUGAUACUGCCUCCAUCAGGCUGCCUUUUUCCCAUUGUGCAGACUCCUGCCAUCUCUUACCCAAGUAAACAAUACACACUCAACUGGCCAUCCACCUGAUCUAAAAGAAAACUUCAUCAGACCAGGUAACCUUCUUCCAUUGCUCCAUGGUUCAGUUCAGAUGCUCACAUGAACAUUGUAAGUCCUUUCAGCACUGGACAGGGGUCAUCAGGGUUGCCUAAAGUUGCCUGACAAGGCCAGACAUAAUAAAAUUGACUCAACCAAUGGUGUGAGUUUGGGUCGAGGCAGUGUUUUUGUUGAGCAUCUUCAGACAGAAGAGGGAAUGUUGGGGAAUAGUUUCCGAUAGUGCACGCUUCACCUGGGAAGAAUGGAAAGAGAUUGAAAAAUAGUCAUGUAAAACUAUAUUAUGAAUUUUUUGGUGCAAUAAACCUUCAGGGUAAAAAUGACUAUAGAAGUGUUGAAGGGGCUGCAACUUUCUCCCUCUCUUUUUCAUUGUUUAUUUGAAGUGUGCAUUAUCCUGCUUAAAGAGCCCACUUACAUCAGGGAGCACUAUUGUCAUGAAGGGGUGUACGUGGUCUGUUACAAUCUUUAGAGAGAGGUGGCUAGAGGGGCCCCAUCAUUUAAAGGCCACAGCUCCAGAUGAGUGUGCAG